RNAcentral lists this transfer RNA (90 nucleotides) under Acidaminobacter hydrogenoformans DSM 2784. RNAcentral describes it as "tRNA_Ser_TGA". It matches the Rfam family "tRNA". Rfam says of the family: Transfer RNA (tRNA) molecules are approximately 80 nucleotides in length. The record is from RNAcentral. Lineage: Bacteria; Bacillati; Bacillota; Clostridia; Peptostreptococcales; Acidaminobacteraceae.
GGAGGGGUACCGAAGCGGUCAUAACGGGGCGGUCUUGAAAACCGUUAGGGUUAAUAGCCCACGUGGGUUCGAAUCCCACCCCCUCCGCCA